Molecule: ribosomal RNA, 494 nt
Filed under: Udeniomyces pyricola
Lineage: Eukaryota; Fungi; Basidiomycota; Tremellomycetes; Cystofilobasidiales; Mrakiaceae
Description: LSU rRNA
Rfam family: Eukaryotic large subunit ribosomal RNA
Source: RNAcentral
AUUCCCCUAGUAACGGCGAGUGAAGCGGGAUGAGCUCAAAUUUAAAAUCUGGCAGUCUAAGAUUGUCCGAGUUGUAGUCUAGAGAAGCGUUUUCCGCGUAGGCCUGUGUACAAGUCCCUUGGAAUAGGGCGUCAUAGAGGGUGAGAAUCCCGUCCUUGACACAGAUCAUCUAUGCUCUGCGAUGCGCUCUCGAAGAGUCGAGUUGUUUGGGAAUGCAGCUCAAAAUGGGUGGUAAAUUCCAUCUAAAGCUAAAUAUUGGCGAGAGACCGAUAGCGAACAAGUACCGUGAGGGAAAGAUGAAAAGCACUUUGGAAAGAGAGUUAAACAGUACGUGAAAUUGUUGAAAGGGAAACGAUUGAAGUCAGUCAUGUGGUUUGAGGUUCAGCCGGUUCUGCCGGUGUAUUCCUCAGACUACAGGCCAGCAUCAGUUUCGACCGGUGGAAAAAGUUGGAGGGAACGUGGCAUCCUCGGAUGUGUUAUAGCCCUCUUUCACA